RNAcentral lists this small RNA (408 nucleotides) under Histoplasma capsulatum var. duboisii H88. RNAcentral describes it as "Histoplasma capsulatum H88 hypothetical RNA". The record is from RNAcentral. Lineage: Eukaryota; Fungi; Ascomycota; Eurotiomycetes; Onygenales; Ajellomycetaceae.
UGACCCAGCUUCGGAGAAUCAUAAUUUAGAUAUUCGUCCAUUAUAAUGCAGAAAGGAAAUUGGAGAAUCAUCAAGUCCAUGCCAUCAGUCAGAUAUUAUCAUCGGUCUAUAAAUAUUUGAAAUAUGUCAUCAGUUCUGCUGUGCGCGCAAAGAAUCAGUGACUUAAACUGAUCUGCAUAUACCAAGAAAAAUAAUCAUCAAUGCACUUGUAGGAUCCAAAUAAAGAAAAAAAGAAAGAAAGUAAGAAGAAGAAAAGAAGAAAAAAGAAAUCAAAAAAAUAGAAAUUCUCCCCUUCUAAUUUAAUGCGAAAAGCAAGGGCAAGUUGCAUCACAACAAAAAAAAAGAAAGACAAAAACUCUAGUUUGCCCCCGCGCGGGAUUGAACCGCGGACCUCAUGAUCUCAUCAGU